RNAcentral lists this ribosomal RNA (438 nucleotides) under uncultured bacterium. RNAcentral's name for it is "bacterial SSU rRNA". It matches the Rfam family "Bacterial small subunit ribosomal RNA", at positions 335 to 769 of the family's 1533-position model. The record is from RNAcentral.
ACUCCUACGGGAGGCAGCAGUGGGGAAUAUUGCACAAUGGGCGCAAGCCUGAUGCAGCCAUGCCGCGUGUAUGAAGAAGGCCUCGGUUGUAAAGUACUUCAGCAGUGAGAAGGUGGGUAUGUUAAUAGCAUACUCAUUUGACGUUAGCUGCAGAAGAAGCACCGGCUAACUCCGUGCCAGCAGCCGCGGUAAUACGGAGGGUGCGAGCGUUAAUCGGAAUUACUGGGGCGUAAAGCGCAUGCAGGUGGUUUGUUAAGUCAGAUGUGAAAGCCCGGGGCUCAACCUCGGAAUUGCAUUUGAAACUGGCAAACUAGAGUACUGUAGAGGGGGUAGAAUUUCAGGUGUAGCGGUGAAAUGCGUAGAGAUCUGAAGGAAUACCGGUGGCGAAGGCGGCCCCCUGGACAGAUACUGACACUCAGAUGCGAAAGCGUGGGGAGC